GUCUUGAAAAUUAAAGAAGAUGGCGGUACUUUAGUCUAUUUAGAGGAACCUGUCCUAUAAUUGAUAGUCCACGAUUUAAUUUACUUAUUUUAAAAAAGUUUACAUAUCGCCGUAGAUUGAAUAUUUUUAUGAAAUUGUAAUGUUCAAUAAAUUUUUAAAAUAAAAAUUCAGGUCAAGAUGUAGCUAAUAAUUAAGAAGAGAUGGGUUACAAUAAAUUUAUUUAAAUGAAUUAGUAAAUUUAAAUUUAUUAUGAAGGUGGAUUUAAAAGUAAUUUUAUUUAAAUUUUUAAAAUGAUUUUAGCUCUAAAGUAUGUACAUAUCGCCCGUCGCUUUCAUUAUAAAGUGAAAUAAGUCGUAACAAAGUAGAUGUACUGGAAAGUGUUUCUGGAAAAUCAAAUUAGAGCUAGGAAAAGUAUUUUAGUUACAUUAAAAAGUUUAUUGUAAAAUCAAUAUAAUUUGAUAAUUUAAUUUUUUAUUAGUUUAUUUGUAUUUAAAAAAGUAUUAAAAAAAGAAUAUUUUAUUUUUAUUAAUUUUUUUGAAAUAAUAAAUAAUUUAUUAUAGAGUAAUAGUAUUGUGAAAGAAUAAGUUUAUAUAUAUAUAAGAAAAAUUUAUUUUUUGUACCUUGUGUAUCAGGGUUUAUUAAAAGGAAAUUAAAAAUUUAAUUUUCUCGAAUUGUUAAGAGCUAUAAUUAUAUAAAUAUUUUUGUAGCAUAAAAAUUUUCAAUAUAGUUAUAGAAGUGAAAUGCUAUUCGAUUAUCAAUAUAUCUAGUUUUUAAAGAAAAAAAUUUAAUUUUUUUAUUAUAUUAUAAAAAUUUAAUUUUUUAAUUUUUUAUAAGUAAUAGAUUAAAUUUUAAGGGAUGAGCUUUAAAAUUGAUUUUUUUAAGAUUUUGUAAAAUUAAUUUUGUAGGAUUGUAAGUUUUUAUCUUUAGAAAGUGUGUUGUAACUUUAUUAAUUAUAGAUAUAAUUUAUAUUAUUUUGAAAUUUUAUAUUUAAAUAAAAAUUUUAGUUUAAAAAAUUUUGUAAUAAUGGUAGAAUUAGUAUAAUUUUAUGUAAUUUAUAAAAUUAAUUUAAGGUUUUAUAAAGGAAUUCGGCAAAUAAAUUUUCUACCUGUUUAUUAAAAACAUGGCCUUUUGAUUAUAAUUUAAGGUCUGGCCUGCCCAAUGAGGAAUUUAAUGGCCGCGGUAUUUUGACCGUGCAAAGGUAGCAUAAUCAUUAGUUUUUUAAUUGAAAGCUAGAAUGAAAGGUUGGAUGAGAAAAUAACUGUCUCUAUAAAAAUUUUUUAGAAUUUUAUUUUUAAGUAAAAAAGCUUAAAUAUAAAUAGAAGACGAGAAGACCCUAUAGAGUUUUAUUAUUAAUUUAAAGGAAAGUUUUAGUAUUGAA
This 1378-nucleotide ribosomal RNA is filed under the name Polyphrades sp. 2 NLG-2014. Its description in RNAcentral is "partial 16S ribosomal RNA". The stretch from base 1 to 394 matches the Rfam family "Microsporidia small subunit ribosomal RNA", at positions 768 to 1311 of the family's 1311-position model. Lineage: Eukaryota; Metazoa; Arthropoda; Insecta; Coleoptera; Curculionidae. The record is from RNAcentral.